AGUUGGCUGAGUAUAAAAAUGAGUUAAAAUGUUUGAAUGAAAGAAACUACUGUUCUAAAUGUGUCCAGUGGAUGUCAAAAUAGCAAUUAUUUUUAUGCUCUGCCGGGAGGGCAAGCAUGACUCCAUAGGGGGCGGAGCUUCAGUGUAUGCCAUGUUAAGGGAGAGGCAACACUUCUGUAUUUGGACAUACGUCCCUAAGCUGCUUAUUGGUGAUAGUAAUGAUACAAAAUAUGGAUUGUUACCUUCAUGCCUGCCCUGUGAUGAGUUGGCGACUUGUCCAGGGUGUACACCACCUUCGGCCCAAUUGUAGCUGAGAUAGGCACCAGCGGCCCCCGCGACCCUAAAGGGAAUAAGCGGUAGAAAAUGGAUGGAUGGAUAGACGUUCAUGCCUUGACUCCUAAAGAUUUUAUUGGUAAUGUAACUUGUGACAUUUCUACCUAAAUAAAUGCUCUUCAUAAUGUCUACAAUUCGUGUUGUAUGUAUGACUGAGCACACAUAUGCUGAAAUAAUAUGUAUCCCCAUCUAACUUCAUGUGUGAUUCCAAAUACCUAACUUCAUUCAUGACAUUAUUCCAAAUUCACAAGUGUUGCUGUAGAUAAUGCUACAUAUGCACAGAAUAAACCCCAUGAUGUUAGUACAUCAGUUGAGGGAAAUGACUAAAUUACAUCAAUAACAUAUUGUAAUUAGAUUUUUAUAUUAUAAUUAAUUUCUUCUUCAAGUAAAUUAAGAAUUUACACUAAUGUGAGCUUUUGAAAACUCUACCAGAUUCAAUUCCACUUAUUUGAAUGAUGAAUUUAUUCAGAAAGUACACUCUUAAAACGAAUUUGUUGGAAAUCAACACAUGUUCUGUGUAAUGAUGAUUUAAACAAAUGUGUUAAGUCACAGGAUUUUCCUGAGGGGAAAGUUACACAGACCCUCUACACAACAUUGUGUCAUGAGCUGUGGCCAAUCAGCUGGGAUGCCAUAAAGUUUGAAAAAAAAAAAAAAAUAAGUCAGCGACGUCAAACUCAACGUUUUUCCGCCCGUCCCGCCUUCUCAUGGAUAUAAGUGGCCAUUACCGGACCUCUACAACUGUAUCGUCCAAAUGUCUUAAUAAAGUGCAAUGUUGGUUCCUGUAAAAUUUGGUGAAGACCAAAGAUAUGUUAAAAUUUAUGAAACUGAAGAAGUUUGUAAGGAUUUUAGCACAUUUCUUUACAGGGUCAUAUAAAAGCUAAGUCUACCACUUGAGACUCAGCUUUACUUGACCGAUGGGACAGGGACACAAGUGGAUGAUCAUGUGUCUGAGGACCUGUUAAAAAUGGGCAACCUUACUAUAAAUGUGUUUGCAGAAAGGUCAACAGUUGAACUUGGUCGAGUACCAGAGUCAGAUAUUCUAUCGAGUGAACCAUCAGACACAGCUUCAUCAUCUUUGGUCUCUGAUUUGCGUACCACAGAAAGGAACAACAGGGUGCAACAAAGUGACGCUGUACAGAUAGUUCCCAAAAAAGAACACAAUGUUGGUUCCAAUAAAAUGUGGUCAAACCCAGAGAUACGUUAGAGUGGCUGAAACUGAAGGGGCUAAGACGAUUUUGGCACGUUUAUUAAGAAGGGUGAGUCAACACUAUUUUAUUCUUACUCAUUUUAAUUUAGCUUUUUGGUAGGGAACCGAAAUGACAGUGAAUGUGAAUCUGCCAAACGAGUAAGUCAUUUUACUGUUAUGAAAAACUGACCUGACUUAUUGCGUAAAUUGACAAAUUAAUGUUUUCCUAGAUGGUGAAAGAUGUUCUCCUAGAUGGUGAAAGAUGUUCUCCUGUCCAAACCACUGGGACAGAUGAUCACAGAGUAUUAAAACAAAUCAAAGACAAUAAAUGAUACAACACGAAAACAACUUGUGAACCUUUUGGUGGCCAACAUGAUUGAAAGGCACAGGAGAAUUCCACCCAUUUCUGUGCGGACCAAAUAUGCGCUUGGUAUUAUCACACUUUUUCCUGCCCUUAAAGAUCCCUUCUCCGAGAAUGUAUACAUACGUUGAUUUAAAGGACUUAUAUUGCAUGUCUUGGAACUGUGCAUUGUAUAUUUUUCCAGGAGCACUUUUAUGACCUGCAUGGUGGCUCUGGCUACUUGGCUUGGAGAUUGAAAAAAUUCAGCGUAACACAGUCCAGCCUCGGAGGCCCUCUUCAACCUCAACUGAUGAAUUUAGCCCAAAGAGAAAGAGACAGGCUGUUGCGAGUGACAAGCAGUUAGUUGGUGAGGAAUGCCAUGAAGCAAUAUCAAUGCUGAAACAUUCAACUGAUGGAUUACUUGUAAAAGACAAGAUGAGGACCACAUUUCAAUAUCGUCAGUAACUGGUUGAAGAUCAAGCGUCCUCUAUCUUGGAUGUGUUCCCACAAUUUCUCAACAUCCCUGGUUUGGUAUGACACUUAAAUAAUUUAAGGUGUACUUAAUGUGAGGACUGGUGGGCAUGGUAAUGCCGGGUUUGUCCCUCCGUGGAUGCGAUGACGUGAACACAACAAAAGGUAGGAUCUUAAAAUAUUUAUUUAACAAAAAGAGAGCUCUGAACAGAAAUGCUGGAGCUAAUAAAAAGGCAAACCAAAAACGCUAGUAUGAAAACUAGGAAAUAAGAAACAGAAAACUAAACUUGGCAUGAAAGCACAAACGAGAAAACAAAUCAUCAGUAUGAAAACUGGAAUAAUCAAGUGGUAUAGCGUGAGAGCUAGCGAGAAUAAAAGUAGAAAAAGUAGCAGUCGUCACUUGUUGCAUGAGAGCAAUUUAUGAACCCAGGAAGAAAUGAACAAAGAGGCUGUCUUAAAUAGGAGGGUGAUUAGACAAAACAGGUGUGUGUGGACCGGGAUUGGCAGGUGGACUGAUGAGUUACCAUGGUGACAGGCUAAACAGGAAAUAAACAGUCACUUGACGGAGAGUGAUACCAGAAAGGAAAAAUAACUAAUAUGUGUAGAUACGAGCGGCGGAUCGCAACACUUAAAACUUUAUCAUGUCAGCAAUAUUAACUUUUGUGUUUUUAUUUAUUUUAGAUUGAACAGAAUUUUGCCAUGAGGUUUGGAGAGGAUGUGUCCGGCAGAUUUUUGUCAAAGUGGCCCGCUUUCUUCAAACCCAGGAUCCUGAUAGACUGUAAAAAUCUAGUCUUUAAUAAUCACGUAGGAGAGCUCCUGGCUGCACAAAACUCUGACGGACUUGGCUGGGACAGUGACCUCUCAAGCAUUCUAUUUUCACAUACAUAGUAGGCGGAACUACUUCCAAAGGACAUACGAAAAAAGCAAAAAUUAGCUCCUCUCAAGCUGUGAACCAUUUUGUAAGAUAUCCGCAGGUAAUAGGAUAAGCAGUUUUCCAAUGCAAUGGAUGAAAAAAUACAUGCUGUACCUUAUUGCCAUAUUGUAUAACCAGGGUUGUAAGGCGGCCGUUGCUGUAAAGUGUGCAAAUAAA
Long non-coding RNA from Nerophis ophidion (straightnose pipefish), 3420 nucleotides. RefSeq lists it as uncharacterized. The transcript is spliced from 7 exons. Lineage: Eukaryota; Metazoa; Chordata; Actinopteri; Syngnathiformes; Syngnathidae. The record is from RefSeq and is a predicted model, not a curated record.